GAUGAAGAACGUAGCGAAAUGCGAUAAGUAAUGUGAAUUGCAGAAUUCAGUGAAUCAUCGAGUUUUUGAACGCAUAUUGCGCCCCCUGGUAUUCCGGGGGGCAUGCCUGUUCGAGCGUCAUUAAAUAACCCUCAAGCAUAGCUUGGUGUUGGGCUUUUUUACGUCCUUGACUGGGAUGGGCCUAAAAAUUAGUGGCGAUGGCUUUUUUACUUUCAAGCGUAGUAAAUCUCGUCUUGCUAAAGAGGAAAAAGAUUUUUUUUCUGCCAAAAAUUUUAACAUUUAAAGUUGACCUCGGAUCAGGUAGGAUUACCCGCUGAACUUAAGCAUAUCAAUAAGCGGAGGA
Molecule: unclassified non-coding RNA, 343 nt
Filed under: soil metagenome
Description: partial contains 5.8S ribosomal RNA, internal transcribed spacer 2, and large subunit ribosomal RNA
Rfam family: 5.8S ribosomal RNA (bases 1-120)
Source: RNAcentral